GUCCCUUUCGUCUAGUGGUUAGGACAUCGUUUCCCCAUGUCGAAGACACGGGUUCGAUUCCCGUAGGGGAUC
RNAcentral lists this transfer RNA (72 nucleotides) under Pseudotsuga sinensis var. wilsoniana. Its description in RNAcentral is "tRNA-Gly". It matches the Rfam family "tRNA". Rfam says of the family: Transfer RNA (tRNA) molecules are approximately 80 nucleotides in length. Their secondary structure includes four short double-helical elements and three loops (D, anti-codon, and T loops). Lineage: Eukaryota; Viridiplantae; Streptophyta; Pinopsida; Pinales; Pinaceae. The record is from RNAcentral.